Molecule: long non-coding RNA, 967 nt
Organism: Diorhabda carinulata
Lineage: Eukaryota; Metazoa; Arthropoda; Insecta; Coleoptera; Chrysomelidae
Exons: 2
Source: RefSeq, a predicted model, not a curated record
GAUUUAGAAGGAUCACGAUAAAGUUAUUUGCUCUAACUAACGAACUUGAACUACUCGUUCUCAUAAAAAGCUGAAAUCCGGAAUGGUUAAAGAAUUCAAAUAUUUCAAAAUCUCUUAUUAGUCUAGCACAGUCCAGGGCUUAUUGUUGGAAUGCAUUUAAUAAUUCAAAAAUGCUUGAGACAGAUUCAAAUCAAAAUUUUUUUUAGCGUCAAACGUCAAAUGCAAAUUUAGGUUAUGUUUGAAUUUUAAGCUGACCCAGGCAUCUUUUUAAUAAGUCUUAAAAAAUAAAAGGCUUGUGACACAACUGCUAGUUUUCGUGCUACAUUAAGUUCAAGCUCAUCCGAAGAGGAAAAUAUUAUUGUCUGAAAACGAUAUAUAUAUAUUUCCUAAAAAUUUCCUAAAAGUAAAAACAAGGGUUUUCCAGUCAUAAUAUAAAACACAGACCUAGAAUAUUGAAUUAUUGUGGAAAACAAAAUGAGAUAGCAAACCAACUGAAAACUAACAAAUAUAAUUUUAGACAGUAUCGACCUUUAACUAUAGGAAUAACAAACAGCAAGAGACCGGACAAUGGAAAGGAUACAAAAAUGGUAUCAAGCCUGUGGAACAAACAUAACCAAACAAAAAAAAUGUACAAGACCCUAAGGCCCAUUUCGCACCAAGCCAGUUAGUCCAUUCGCAUCCACUCAAGGGCACAAACGCUUUUGAUUUAGAAAUAUUAACUUACCAUUAAAACAAAGAGAAUGUGUAAAUCUGGUUUCAGUCUAAGAACUUAAAAGAACAGAGAGAAAGAUAAUAAGAACUAUAACAGGUCCACACAUAACAAAGGAGAGCAAAAAAACGAAGAAAUAGAGAAAGAGCUCAUGAAGAAAAAUAUAAAAAGGUCUAAGUAAUGAAAAGUUGAAGAAAAGUGAUAUAGUAAUGUAUAUUAAAUAAUAUUUUAUAUAAAUAAAACAAUCAAUUUAGAAUU